GACGAACGCUGGCGGCGGGCUUAACACAUGCAAGUCGAACGGAAAGGCCCUGCUUUUGUGGGGUGCUCGAGGGGCGAACGGGUGAGUAACACGUGAGUAACCUGCCCUUGACUUUGGGAUAACUUCAGGAAACUGGGGCUAAUACCGGAUAGGAGCUCCUGCUGCAUGGUGGGGGUGGGAAAGUUUCGGCGGUUGGGGAUGGACUCGCGGCUUAUCGGCUUGUUGGUGGGGUAGUGGCUUACCAAGGCUUUGACGGGUAGCCGGCCUGAGAGGGUGACCGGCCACCAUGGGACUGCGAUACGGCCCAGACUCCUACGGGAGGCAGCGGUGGGGAAUAUUGCACAAUGGGCGGAAGCCUGAUGCAGCAACGCUGCGUGCGGGAUGACGGCCUUCGGGUUGUAAACCGCUUUCGCCUGUGACGAAGCGUGAGUGACGGUAAUGGGUAAAGAAGCACCGGCUAACUUCGUG
Molecule: ribosomal RNA, 468 nt
Filed under: uncultured bacterium
Lineage: Bacteria
Description: partial 16S ribosomal RNA
Rfam family: Bacterial small subunit ribosomal RNA
Source: RNAcentral